GACGAACGCUGGCGGCGUGCUUAACACAUGCAAGUCGAACGGAAAGGCCCUGCUUUUGUGGGGUGCUCGAGUGGCGAACGGGUGAGUAACACGUGAGUAACCUGCCCUUGACUUUGGGAUAACUUCAGGAAACUGGGGCUAAUACCGGAUAGGAGCUCCUGCUGCAUGGUGGGGGUUGGAAAGUUUCGGCGGUUGGGGAUGGACUCGCGGCUUAUCAGCUUGCUGGUGGGGUAGUGGCUUACCAAGGCUUUGACGGGUAGCCGGCCUGAGAGGGUGACCGGCCACCUUGGGACUGAGAUACGGCCCAGACUCGUACGGGAGGCAGCAGUGGGGAAUAUUGCACAAUGGGCGGAAGCCUGAUGCAGCAACGCCGCGUGCGGGAUGACGGCCUUCGGGUUGUAAACCGCUUUCGCCUGUGACGAAGCGUGAGUGACGGUAAUGGGUAAAGAAGCACCGGCUAACUACGUG
This 468-nucleotide ribosomal RNA is filed under the name uncultured bacterium. RNAcentral's name for it is "partial 16S ribosomal RNA". It matches the Rfam family "Bacterial small subunit ribosomal RNA", at positions 28 to 507 of the family's 1533-position model. The record is from RNAcentral.